AUUGAACGCUGGCGGCAGGCCUAACACAUGCAAGUCGAGCGGAUGAAGGGAGCUUGCUCCUGGAUUCAGCGGCGGACGGGUGAGUAAUGCCUAGGAAUCUGCCUGGUAGUUGGGGAUAACGUCCGGAAACGGGCGCUUAUACCGCAUACGUCCUGAGGGAGAAAGUGGGGGAUCUUCGGACCUCACGCUAUCAGAUGAGCCUAAGACGGAUUAGCUAGUUGGUGGGGUAAAGGCCUACCAAGGCGACGAUCCGUAACUGGUCUGAGAGGAUGAUCAGUCACACUGGAACUGAGACACGGUCCAGACUCCUACGGGAGGCAGCAGUGGGGAAUAUUGGACAAUGGGCGAAAGCCUGAUCCAGCCAUGCCGCGUGUGUGAAGAAGGUCUUCGGAUUGUAAAGCACUGUAAGUUGGGAGGAAGGGCAGUAAGUUAAUACCUUGCUGUUUUGACGUUACCAACAGAAUAAGCACCGGCUAACUUCGUG
RNAcentral lists this ribosomal RNA (484 nucleotides) under uncultured bacterium. RNAcentral's name for it is "partial 16S ribosomal RNA". It matches the Rfam family "Bacterial small subunit ribosomal RNA", at positions 30 to 507 of the family's 1533-position model. The record is from RNAcentral.